Molecule: non-coding RNA, 87 nt
Organism: Yersinia pseudotuberculosis IP 32953
Lineage: Bacteria; Pseudomonadati; Pseudomonadota; Gammaproteobacteria; Enterobacterales; Yersiniaceae
Source: Rfam
AACAAUGGUGGGCUGGACGGGGGCAUCGAAAGAUGCGCCGGGUUCUCUGUUGACCGGUCUGCUAACCCCGUUCAGUCCACCACCCAA